Molecule: long non-coding RNA, 592 nt
Filed under: Physcomitrium patens
Lineage: Eukaryota; Viridiplantae; Streptophyta; Bryopsida; Funariales; Funariaceae
Description: long non-coding RNA (PPAT_LNC006727)
Source: RNAcentral
UUAGACAUUGGUGACCUUUAAAAACUUAGUUUAUUUUUUAAUUUAGUAUUCAAAACACAAAAUAUGUAAAUCUUAUGAGAAAAAGGAUUAAAAAGGGGUUUUUAGUAUAAAAAGGAUAGUUUGGCCAUCCAUGUGGAUGAAUAGAGGUGGAUGAUAGGAAUCUCUAUUCUAAUUGGCCAAAAAUCAUGCCCAAUGGGCUUUAAGGAGGCUGCCCGAGGCCUUAUUAGGAGAUCAGGGUUUGUUUUUUAGAGGAAUUCGAAUAUCAGAGGCUAGGGUCAUCAGGUUUAGGUUUUUGGAUAUGGUUUUGGUGAAAAUUUUGCAUGAUUUGGACUUUUUAUGAAAGAGUUAUAGGCGCUCAAAGUCAGGGUGUCAAAAUUCUACCUACUGUCACUCUUUUAAGCAUAACGCGUUCGUACAGAAGACAAAAGAUAAUUGGCAAUUGGAGUUGGAAAGAGCACUUUUUUGGCUACACUUUUUGUUUAAGGCUUGAUAAAAUCCAAGCUAUGGUGAAGAAGAUAUUGGGAGUUGAAGUCAAUGCUUGUAAGUUAAAGGCAGUAAGUUACCCCGCUUAACUAGUGGUUACAUUUUGAGC